RNAcentral lists this ribosomal RNA (232 nucleotides) under uncultured bacterium. Its description in RNAcentral is "partial 16S ribosomal RNA". It matches the Rfam family "Bacterial small subunit ribosomal RNA", at positions 99 to 334 of the family's 1533-position model. The record is from RNAcentral.
CGGACGGGUGAGUAAUGUCUGGGAAACUGCCUGAUGGAGGGGGAUAACUACUGGAAACGGUAGCUAAUACCGCAUGACGUCGCAAGACCAAAGAGGGGGACCUUCGGGCCUCUUGCCAUCGGAUGUGCCCAGAUGGGAUUAGCUAGUAGGUGGGGUAACGGCUCACCUAGGCGACGAUCCCUAGCUGGUCUGAGAGGAUGACCAGCCACACUGGAACUGAGACACGGUCCAG